CAUGCUCUACGAGGCAGCAGUAGGGAAUAUUGGGCAAUGGACGGAAGUCUGACCCAGCCAUGCCGCGUGCAGGAAGAAGGCGUUAUGCGUUGUAAACUGCUUUUUUAUAGAAAGAAGGAGACCUUGCGAGGUUUGGUGACGGUACUAUAAGAAUAAGCACCGGCUAACUCCGUGCCAGCAGCCGCGGUAAUACGGAGGGUGCGAGCGUUGUCCGGAUUUAUUGGGUUUAAAGGGUGCGUAGGCGGUUUAUUAAGUCAGUGGUGAAAGACGGUCGCUCAACGAUUGCAGUGCCAUUGAUACUGGUAGACUUGAGUUCGUAUGAGGUAGCUGGAAUGGAUAGUGUAGCGGUGAAAUGCAUAGAUAUCAAGAGGAACACCUGAGGCGAAGGCGGGUUGCUGGG
RNAcentral lists this ribosomal RNA (400 nucleotides) under uncultured bacterium. RNAcentral's name for it is "bacterial SSU rRNA". It matches the Rfam family "Bacterial small subunit ribosomal RNA", at positions 332 to 733 of the family's 1533-position model. The record is from RNAcentral.